GCGGAUGUGGUGGAAUAGGUAGACACAAGGGACUUAAAAUCCCUCGGCACAUGAGCUGUGCGGGUUCGAGUCCCGCCAUCCGCACCA
Molecule: transfer RNA, 87 nt
Filed under: Hyphomicrobiaceae bacterium
Lineage: Bacteria; Pseudomonadati; Pseudomonadota; Alphaproteobacteria; Hyphomicrobiales; Hyphomicrobiaceae
Also listed under: 1 other name
Description: tRNA-Leu
Rfam family: tRNA
About the family: Transfer RNA (tRNA) molecules are approximately 80 nucleotides in length. Their secondary structure includes four short double-helical elements and three loops (D, anti-codon, and T loops). Further hydrogen bonds mediate the characteristic L-shaped molecular structure. tRNAs have two regions of fundamental functional importance: the anti-codon, which is responsible for specific mRNA codon recognition, and the 3' end, to which the tRNAs corresponding amino acid is attached (by aminoacyl-tRNA synthetases). tRNAs cope with the degeneracy of the genetic code in two manners: having more than one tRNA (with a specific anti-codon) for a particular amino acid; and 'wobble' base-pairing, i.e. permitting non-standard base-pairing at the 3rd anti-codon position.
Source: RNAcentral